CUACGGGUCGCUGCAGUGAGGAAUAUUGCACAAUGGAGGAAACUCUGAUGCAGCAACGCCGCGUGGAGGAUGACGCAUUUCGGUGUGUAAACUCCUUUUAUAUGUCAAGAAAAUGACGGUAGCAUAUGAAUAAGCUCCGGCUAACCCGUGCCAGCAGCCGCGGUAAUACGGAGGGAGCAAGCGUUACUCGGAAUCACUGGGCGUAAAGGACGCGUAGGCGGGAUAGAAAGUCAGGUGUGAAAUCCUAUGGCUCAACCAUAGAACUGCACUUGAAACUUCUAACCUAGAGUAUGGGAGGGGAAGGUGGAAUUAGUGGUGUAGGGGUAAAAUCCGUAGAUAUCACUAGGAAUACCAAAAGCGAAGGCGAUCUUCUGGAACAAUACUGACGCUAAGGCGUGAAAGCGUGGGGAGCAAACAGGAUUAGAUACCCCAGUAGUC
Molecule: ribosomal RNA, 438 nt
Filed under: uncultured bacterium
Lineage: Bacteria
Description: partial 16S ribosomal RNA
Rfam family: Bacterial small subunit ribosomal RNA
Source: RNAcentral